GCCCACAUAGCUCAGUGGUAGAGCACUUCUUUGGUAAAGAAGAGGUCCUGGGUCCGAUUCCCAGUGUGGGCU
This is a transfer RNA of Chthonomonas calidirosea T49, 72 nucleotides long. It matches the Rfam family "tRNA". Rfam says of the family: Transfer RNA (tRNA) molecules are approximately 80 nucleotides in length. Their secondary structure includes four short double-helical elements and three loops (D, anti-codon, and T loops). The record is from Rfam. Lineage: Bacteria; Bacillati; Armatimonadota; Chthonomonadia; Chthonomonadales; Chthonomonadaceae.